CGAAAGCCUGACGGAGCAACGCCGCGUGCGGGAGGAAGGCCUUAGGGUUGUAAACCGCUUUUCUCAGGGAAGAAGCUCUGACGGUACCUGAGGAAUCAGCCUCGGCUAACUCCGUGCCAGCAGCCGCGGUAAUACGGAGGAGGCAAGCGUUAUCCGGAAUUAUUGGGCGUAAAGCGUCCGCAGGUGGCGAUUCAAGUCUGCUGUCAAAGCACGGGGCUUAACUCCGUUAAGGCAGUGGAAACUGAAUGGCUAGAGUGCCGUAGGGGUAGAGGGAAUUCCCGGUGUAGCGGUGAAAUGCGUAGAGAUUGGGAAGAACACCGGUGGCGAAAGCGCUCUACUGGACCACACCUGACACUCAGAGGACGAAAGCUAGGGGAGCG
RNAcentral lists this ribosomal RNA (380 nucleotides) under uncultured cyanobacterium. Its description in RNAcentral is "bacterial SSU rRNA". It matches the Rfam family "Bacterial small subunit ribosomal RNA", at positions 376 to 770 of the family's 1533-position model. Lineage: Bacteria; Bacillati; Cyanobacteriota. The record is from RNAcentral.